GUCGGCCUGGUAGCCGGGCCUACGCUUUCGGUGACUGCCACUUAGCGCGGUUGCGGAUUGCAGAUGUGGUCUAGGGGUUCAAAUCCUCUGGUAGUCGCCA
RNAcentral lists this transfer RNA (100 nucleotides) under Micromonospora sp. AKA109. RNAcentral's name for it is "tRNA-Gly". The record is from RNAcentral. Lineage: Bacteria; Bacillati; Actinomycetota; Actinomycetes; Micromonosporales; Micromonosporaceae.